CUGCCAUUAUUAGAUACCACCGGCACCGUUCACUGUUCACUCGCCAACGUGGUAUAGUCGUGACGUCGCGAUUAAUGUGUUAUGUACCAUAAAAAAAAAAAAAUGCUUAUUUUGCAUAGUCGCAUAACUAUGUGUUGUACGAUUGCCACGGUGAUUAUAAAUUGUGAAUUAUUAUGAUGAACAUAGUAUUAAUAUGAUAAUAGGUAAUCGUUUAGAAUUUAAACUAACAACUUGUGUGAAUAGAUUAAUUUGCGUCGGCAUGAUCAUCAAACUCCAGCGAGUACCUAUCUGAUUAUCUCUGUUAUUACUACUACUUAUUUUUGUUUUGGUAUCUAUCGCAAACUGAGAUGGGAACCGUGUUAGCAUUACUUCCAAGAAAAUUACUAGGAAUUACAUUAUGUAUUAUAUAUCAUUGAUUAAGGAUACUUGAUAAAUUAUCAUAAUAUACCUAUUCGUUCGGUAUACUUCCGUCAGAUAUUUUGCAAAGACGCAUAAACCUUGGAUUAGAUGAACACAAUUUAAUGCACUGCUCACCUAUUCCAUGAAAAGCCAUGCCGAAUAGGCCUUGAAGAGUACCCGCGCUGCCACUAGGCGCUACUUCGGCCGCGUACGAAAUGCCAGCCACAAAAGCCAAGGCAAACGUUAUACCAUUAAUCAGCUCUACUGGCAAUACCCAAAGUGGAUCUUUAAUAAUUGAAUACAGGAAAAAUUUUAUCGAAAACAUUGCAAAUGCUACUGAAAAAGCUGUCAUAUGUCCAAUGCGUUUCAAUCAAUAAAAACACCGUACUCACAUAACCCUAUGACCUAUAGGCUAUAGUGUAAAAAUUAUGUAUUGGUGUUAAAAUACAUGAUUCAAAUUAGAAAUUGUUUAUUUAAAACCCCUUUAGAAAUUAAGUACAUGCGAUGAUAUCGUUUUGCUACAACACAUAAACAAAACUUAUUCAUGCAAAAUCGAUUUUUUGUAGAGAAAUCAUAGAGUAAGAUAAUAUAUUACAAAAAUUAUGGUGAUCGAGGAGGAAUAAUAUUUUGAAGAUUUAUCAUAAAUGGGUUAGAAACUAGAACAAAAUUACUUUGUUAUUCAUUUAAGAGGGCGUCACACCCGCAUGUGUUGUCUCUGUCUUACAAGCACGUAACAUACCAAAUUUACUUUCAGUAGAUC
Molecule: long non-coding RNA, 1159 nt
Organism: Rhopalosiphum maidis (corn leaf aphid)
Lineage: Eukaryota; Metazoa; Arthropoda; Insecta; Hemiptera; Aphididae
Exons: 4
Source: RefSeq, a predicted model, not a curated record